AUCAGCAACGUUUCGAGCUUAUGACUUCGCCGUCAACUAUGAGCGUGCGGUGAGCCAGCGCAGCUCAAUGAGCAUGAUGCUUCGUGCGACUCGGUUGCUCGAGAGCACGAAUCGCCUGACCGUUGCAACUGAACCGCUCGAAGCUGCUGGAACGUUGGCCGCACCGGAGUGGCUGGCUAAUGCCGAGCUGGUAUGGCAGGCGGGUAAUCUGAGCAUCGGUUGGGCUACGCAAUUCUUUGACUCGUAUUGGCUGAACAGCGCGCAUUCGUUUGUGCCGGCGCAAGGCUCGGCACGUGUCGGAUCAAUC
This 307-nucleotide unclassified non-coding RNA is filed under the name uncultured fungus. RNAcentral describes it as "sequence contains ITS1". Lineage: Eukaryota; Fungi. The record is from RNAcentral.